GGUGAAGACAUUUAGUGCUUUGUAUCCAGAUUCAGGAAGAAACUCAGUCAGACUGGUCAGUAAGGGGCUGGGCUUGGAGGCAGGGUUGUCCAUUUUAUCAGUUUAAUGUUCUCAUGUUGAAACUUCAUUUAAACCAUCAUAUCAUGGUUAAAACUACCCUGAGGUUACCUGUACUUAUUCAGUUUACUUGAUUGUGAAAACUUCCAGGAUGAAAUUACAGUGGCCCUAUGAAAGGACUGUUUUUAUUCACAGAUGGAGGAUGAUGGAUCCUGGAAAGUGGAUGGCAACAUCUGGGAAAGGCAAGCCUUCUGAACAGUUUCUGUUGCUACACCCCAGGGAUCUCCCCCUUUGGAGAGGUGAUGCCAGGGAAAACACUCAGCAGAUGCUGAAUCCCUUCUCUAAUUACAAGUCAUGUGAGAAAUCCUCAGAUGGGAAGAUUUUGAAGAGCCUGUCACCUUGUUAGCUGAACCAUCCAAGGCAAGACAUUCCCUUAAACCUGAUCUAAGUCAUCAGCAAUUUAUUUCCACUUGAUUCUGUAUGUCUGUGUCCUCAUAAUCCCUUUUUGUCUUGAAUUGCUUUAUUUUGAAUUUGGAUUUUACUUGUUUCAUAACCUAUCUUGAGUUAAAGACAAUUUCAGAUAACUUGCCUUCCACAGAUCUGACAUUACUUAAAAUUUCGGCUUUGGAAAAUAUUAGCAAGGGCUCAAAUCCCCAGAUUAUUGCAAAUAUUCAAAAUAUGUGAAUCUGUGUAAGUAGCAAGUCCUUAGAGAUCUCCAGUGGUUGCUAUUAGUCAGAGAUUUCUUCGACAGACCAUAAAGAAGUGGGGUCUGAAAAAGGUUCUAUUUCUCAUGUUUCCUGUAACAGUGGUAGGAUAUGUUCACCGAGGCAUGAGCUGCUGCUGCUA
This 903-nucleotide long non-coding RNA is filed under the name Cyanistes caeruleus (blue tit). Its description in RNAcentral is "lncRNA (ENSCCEG00000023072.1)". Lineage: Eukaryota; Metazoa; Chordata; Aves; Passeriformes; Paridae. The record is from RNAcentral.